Molecule: long non-coding RNA, 967 nt
Filed under: Bemisia tabaci
Lineage: Eukaryota; Metazoa; Arthropoda; Insecta; Hemiptera; Aleyrodidae
Description: lncRNA ENSSSA2NGG000823
Source: RNAcentral
AAUCUCGACUUGUCCAAAUUCGGUUUCGAGACAAUUCCCAUCUCGGUAGUUGGCUCUUUCUUGCAAUCGUCUCCUUUCCGAUCUUUAAUACAAUACAAUGGUACGUUUUACUACGUCGAUAGCUCGGAGCCAGGCGCCCCGACGAGCAGUAUGCUUGGCGAUUUCCAAGUGACUCUGAAGGAUAACACCACGGCGUCCGCUGAGCCCGUCAUAACGUGCGAAGCUCCGUCCGGCAGCUGUAACUGCAAGUGCUCUUAUUCUCAAAACAGUAGCAUUAAAGCAUUUCAAAGUCGGCUGGAGGACUACGAACCGCUUCAACGGUACAUUACGGUCGAAGAGGUUAGAAAAAAAACCGUGCUGAAAAUUGGAACCGUGAAGCAUUACAAUGCUCGAGUUAUCCCGAUCUUCAUGUGCGAAGGUGGCAGCUUUGGUCAUCACGAUGAUGUCUCUGAUCGUAGGGAUUGCAGCCUCCCUUUCUCCGGGAGUCUGGGUCGAUUGCGGGAAACUCAUGGUGCAAGGCUACAACUCUUGCCAAAUCAACCAUAACGACGAGGAGAUUCCGUAUGCAGGCCCCGAAAAAACGACGAUACCCAACUUGAGGUUUGGCCUCAUCACUUACGUAUGCGACCACGAGUUGGGCUACUUCAUGUCCGAAGUGGACUGCGAGAAAUGCGGCUUGAACUGCACGGAGGGAGCUUCCGUGGACCCGUCACCCUGCCCGGCCGACCCGACCCAAUUCUGGGCAGGACUCGUCAUGGGCGUGUGCGUGAACGUCUUGAUCGGAGCUCUCACUUACAAGCGACUUUGGCGCCUCCUGGAUAAGGUUCUAGCCCAGUCGGCCGACGACGUCGCAACUGGGACCCAAAAUCAUGACGCGGCCAAGUCGAGUAAGGAUGACUGGAGAGGGUAUCCGGUUGUUCCACCCUGGCAUGGUGACAAUGGUCCACCUUCAACUGAUCAUGAGUAA